Molecule: long non-coding RNA, 490 nt
Organism: Cygnus olor (mute swan)
Lineage: Eukaryota; Metazoa; Chordata; Aves; Anseriformes; Anatidae
Exons: 3
Source: RefSeq, a predicted model, not a curated record
CUGUUUCAGUCCCGAGUUAGGUCUGUGGGGCCGGGAGCUUCUCUGUCAGAUUCUGUGCAAAUAUCCUGACUUAACAACAGGCUCCGUGGCAAAAGCCAAUGCCUCAUAGUGAAAGAGGCCCACUCAAAUGAAAUGCCAACCUGUCCUUGGAGGCACAGCCCUGACCAGCAGAUGAUGGGAUUAGCAGUUUGUCCUGUGCUAUAAGUAGGCUGCCCUGCAUCUUGCCCGGCUCAGGGUGCCCAGGGAUGACCUGGCACUGCAGGGGUCUGCUGAGCAGCUGGCCUGGGAUGGCAAAAAAUGAGAAACUGGAGUAAGAUUGUUGGGUUUCCUGAACUGCCUGUUUUCUGGGAAGGAUGGCAGAACUGUCGAAAAUUUAGGAUGCCACUGGUUAUGUCAUCAAGGCUGUUUAUAUCGGUGAAAUAAAACUGAAAAUCAACUGAAGAAGUCUGAACUGAUGAGUGAUGACUGCCUGGUGUUGGAGUAGUGGUUC